GCUAAGAAUCUACGCCCCCCUUUAACUCAAUGAACCUUAAAAAUUCAUUUUACUAAUCAAAACAUUUUUACAUCUUAGUAAAGGCGAUUGAAAAAUUUCUAGGAGCUAUACUAAUAGUACCGCAAGGGAAAGAUGAAAUAAAAAUGAAACAAAUAUUAAGCAUAAAAAAGCAGAGAUUCAACCUCGUACCUUUUGCAUCAUGGUUUAACUAGUCAAAUUAAGCAAAACGAUUUUCAGUUUAACCCCCCGAAACUAAGUGAGCUACUUCAGGGCAGCUUAUCGAGCAAACCCGUCUCUGUUGCAAAAGAGUGGGAAGACCUUCAAGUAGAGGUGACAGACCUAACGAACUUAGUGAUAGCUGGUUACUCAAGAAAAGGAUUUAAGUCCGACCUAAAGUCCCAUUAAUAACCGUAAAUAGCUACAUUACUUUAGAGCAAUUCAAAUAAGGUACAGCCUAUUUGAAAUAGGAUACAACCUAUAGAGACGGGUAACACCUACCCACGGUAAUUAAGUAGGCUUAAAAGCAGCCACCUUUAAAAUAGCGUCAAAGCUUCAUUAUCUUUAUACCCAAUCCCACCAAUAACCCAGAACCCUCCAUCACUAUUGAGUACUUCUAUACCCCUAUAGAAUAUUUUAUGUUAAAACUAGUAACAAGAAGCAGAACUUCACUUAAAUGCAAGUGUAACCCAGAAAGGACACACCGCUGGCUAUUAACAUCCAUGCAAAUAAAUUAACAACUCAACAAGAAAAACUUAAUUUUCAUAACGUUAAUCUAACACAAGAGCAUUUCAAGUAAGAUUAAAAGAAAAAGAAGGAACUCGGCAAAUAUUAACCUCGCCUGUUUACCAAAAACAUCGCCUCUUGACUUAAUAUAAGAGGUCCAGCCUGCCCAGUGACUCUGUUCAACGGCCGCGGUAUCCUAACCGUGCGAAGGUAGCGUAAUCACUUGUUCUUUAAAUGAGGACUAGUAUGAAUGGCACCACGAGGGUUACACUGUCUCCUUUUUCCAAUCAGUGAAACUAAUCUCCCCGUGAAGAAGCGAGGAUAAACAUAUAAGACGAGAAGACCCUAUGGAGCUUUAAACUAAAUAACACCUGCCUCUUAAUACUACCACUUCAGAGUAAUAAACACUUAUUAUGGCCUAUUGAUUAUUAGUUUUAGGUUGGGGUGACCGCGGAGUAAAAAACAACCUCCACAUUGAAUGGGGAACACCCCCUGAGUCACGAGCCACAACUCUAUGCACCAAUAAAUUGACAUUCAUUGACCCAAUAUAUUGAUCAACGAACCAAGUUACCCUAGGGAUAACAGCGCAAUCCGCCUUAAGAGCCCCUAUCGACAGGCGGGUUUACGACCUCGAUGUUGGAUCAGGGUAUCCCAGUGGUGCAGCCGCUACUAAAGGUUCGUUUGUUCAACGAUUAAAACCCU
Molecule: ribosomal RNA, 1425 nt
Filed under: Hyla savignyi (Savingny's treefrog)
Lineage: Eukaryota; Metazoa; Chordata; Amphibia; Anura; Hylidae
Description: partial 16S ribosomal RNA
Rfam family: Bacterial large subunit ribosomal RNA
Source: RNAcentral